UCGCACUGUUAAUCUUCGUCACUCGCCCUUAGCCCUUCACCCUUCUUCAUCUUGUUAAUCUUCAUCUUCGUCUUCCGCUCAUCGAAUCCGCUCAUCGCACUGUCUCCUACCUCGGCGACCUUAUGGCCUCCUUCAGUUCAAAAAUCUCAAUGCAGAGAAGAGCCCUUUUCAGCGGACUUAUGCGACUCAGGCUGCAACUAAAGUUCUUGCUCGACAGUUGGUAAGGCUUACGCAGCAGAUUGCUAACCUUCAAGGUAGUCGAGCUCAGAUGAGAGGCAUAGCAACUCACA
Molecule: long non-coding RNA, 290 nt
Organism: Arachis duranensis
Lineage: Eukaryota; Viridiplantae; Streptophyta; Magnoliopsida; Fabales; Fabaceae
Exons: 3
Source: RefSeq, a predicted model, not a curated record